RNAcentral lists this ribosomal RNA (253 nucleotides) under uncultured bacterium. RNAcentral's name for it is "partial 16S ribosomal RNA". It matches the Rfam family "Bacterial small subunit ribosomal RNA", at positions 524 to 776 of the family's 1533-position model. The record is from RNAcentral.
UACGAGGGGGGCGAGCGUUGUUCGGAAUUAUUGGGCGUAAAGGGUGCGUAGGCGGUUUGGUAAGUCUGAUGUGAAAUCUAUGGGCUCAACUCAUAGUCUGCAUCGGAAACUGUCGGGCUUGAGUGUGGGAGAGGUGAGUGGAAUUCCUGGUGUAGCGGUGAAAUGCGUAGAUAUCGAGAGGAACACCGGUGGCGAAGGCGGCCUUCUGGACAGUGACUGACGCUGAGACGCGAAAGCGUGGGGAGCAAACAGG